UACGGAAGGGGCAAGCGUUGUUCGGAAUCAUUGGGCGUAAAGGGCGCGUAGGCGGUUCGUUAAGUCCUGUGUGAAAUCCCCCGGCUCAACUGGGGAACUGCACAGGAAACUAGCGGGCUUGAGUUCGGGAGAGGGAAGCGGAAUUCCGGGUGUAGCGGUGAAAUGCGUAGAUAUCAGGAGGAACACCGGCGGUGUAGACGGCUUGCUAGACCACCCCUGACGCUGAGGCACGAAAGCGUGGGUAGCAAACAGG
RNAcentral lists this ribosomal RNA (253 nucleotides) under uncultured bacterium. Its description in RNAcentral is "partial 16S ribosomal RNA". It matches the Rfam family "Bacterial small subunit ribosomal RNA", at positions 524 to 776 of the family's 1533-position model. The record is from RNAcentral.